ACUGUAUGUAUACUUUGUCCGUGCGGUGGCAGGGUGGCACUACAACAAACUGGGUGGCACUACAAGUUUGUAGUUUGUAAGUAAAACCGGUAUGUGGUAAUCGAUAAGAGAAAUCGAUAUGUCUACACCUCACGAUUUCGAUAGUCGAACAAUCAGCUGAUUGCUCUUCCAAAUUCCAAAACAAUCUAAAUUUCAAUUUUUAGGUUAUGAUUUGAUGACAAAUUUUCAACUAGUUUAUUACACUUAUUGAAUGUGCCAUAAUAUUUUAAAAACUCAUUUAGAAUCUACUGCUAUUUUCAAUCCUUGCACUUUAAAAAUAUUGUUCUGCACAGGUGGGAAGUAUGGGCAAACCCAGUCCUGAAGCUGUGAUUACCAGCACUGUUCUUUUGUUCACAUUUGCUCUGGGGUUUGCAGUUGGCUACAAAGCAAAAGAAUGGCGCAUUUGGUGGACAAAAAGGCGAAGAGAUGCACUUGCCAGCAAGCUUCACAAAGCUCAAAAACAACUAGAAAUCUUGACAGCUCCUUAACUGAAUAGCAGCCAUAUGAUAAUCAUUUUACAAAAAUUUCCACAAUUUCAAAAUGUUGUUUAUUUCUAUGAAAUUUAUUAGUACAAUUUUUUAUUGAAUUAAGUUGUUUUGUAAAGACAAAUGUAAAUUUGAAGCGUCUGAAAUAUGCCGAGUCAUGUAUUAUUUGAAUAAAUACUUGAAUACUCUAACUAA
RNAcentral lists this long non-coding RNA (719 nucleotides) under Nilaparvata lugens (brown planthopper). RNAcentral describes it as "uncharacterized LOC120351001". Lineage: Eukaryota; Metazoa; Arthropoda; Insecta; Hemiptera; Delphacidae. The record is from RNAcentral.